Molecule: ribosomal RNA, 520 nt
Filed under: uncultured bacterium
Lineage: Bacteria
Description: bacterial SSU rRNA
Rfam family: Bacterial small subunit ribosomal RNA
Source: RNAcentral
GAAUGAAGAAGGCCUUCGGGUUGUAAAGUUCUUUCGUGGGGGACGAAAAGGCGGAUCCGAAUACGGUCUGCUAUUGACGUGAACCCAAGAAGAAGCACCGGCUAACUCCGUGCCAGCAGCCGCGGUAAUACGGAGGGUGCGAGCGUUAAUCGGAAUCACUGGGCGUAAAGGGCGCGUAGGCGGUUGGUUACGUCUGCCGUGAAAUCCCCGGGCUCAACCUGGGAAUGGCGGUGGAAACGGGCUGACUAGAGUAUGGGAGAGGGUGAUGGAAUUCCAGGUGUAGCGGUGAAAUGCGUAGAGAUCUGGAGGAACAUCAGUGGCGAAGGCGGUCACCUGGCCCAAUACUGACGCUGAGGCGCGAAAGCGUGGGGAGCAAACAGGAUUAGAUACCCUGGUAGUCCACGCCCUAAACGAUGGAUACUAGAUGUUUGGUGCCUUAGGUGCUGAGUGUCGUAGCUAACGUGAUAAGUAUCCCGCCUGGGAAUACGGCCGCAAGGUUAAAACUCAAUGAAUUUGACGG